CGGAGGGAGCUAGCGUUGUUCGGAAUUACUGGGCGUAAAGCGCACGUAGGCGGCUUUGUAAGUUAGAGGUGAAAGCCUGGAGCUUAACUCCAGAACUGCCUUUAAGACUGCAUCGCUUGAAUCCAGGAGAGGUGAGUGGAAUUCCGAGUGUAGAGGUGAAAUUCGUAGAUAUUCGGAAGAACACCAGUGGCGAAGGCGGCUCACUGGACUGGUAUUGACGCUGAGGUGCGAAAGCGUGGGGAGCAAA
RNAcentral lists this ribosomal RNA (247 nucleotides) under uncultured bacterium. RNAcentral describes it as "partial 16S ribosomal RNA". It matches the Rfam family "Bacterial small subunit ribosomal RNA", at positions 526 to 772 of the family's 1533-position model. The record is from RNAcentral.